GAAUGCUCAGUCGGCAGAGCACGAGACUCUUCCUCUCAGGGCUGUGGGUUCGAGCCCAACGUUCGGCA
RNAcentral lists this transfer RNA (68 nucleotides) under Podarcis lilfordi (Lilford's wall lizard). RNAcentral describes it as "tRNA.Lys". Lineage: Eukaryota; Metazoa; Chordata; Lepidosauria; Squamata; Lacertidae. The record is from RNAcentral.